GCCUAAUGUAGGUGAUGGGGAUGGCAGCAUGUGCAAUCUGCAUGGGAUGGGUGAAAAUACAGCUUCCGAGGUGGACCUGGAGCCAAGAAAGCAAAGGCUUCUUGGGGUAGCUUUGAACUUCUUUGGGAAUGUUCAUCCCCACAGGAUGAUAAUGGAUCUAAUCUGAAGUAAAGCCACUGAACCACACAUGGUGAGCAACCUCAGCUCCAACUACUUCAAUUUCCUCCUGAUCUAGUCCGUUGCACCAGAGUAGUUGGUGAUGGAGACGUUUCCAGGGAGGAGCAGGCCAGGCCAGGACUCUGUGAAGUGCUCAUUUGUAGCCCAGCUGCUGUCAAGGUUCAAGUCAGCAACCUGCAUGCAGCGUCUGGCACCUUCUGGGUGCCCUAGGGCAUCUGAGCUGGGCAGAUGGGACACAGCAGCUCCAGGAGAUCCAUGUAGCCAGCAGCCAGAGCCCACUCAGCACAGCCCAGUCGACCCUCGGCAACCUAAAUUUAGCCAGCUGACCUGAACCCUUCUUCUUCACAGCAAUGUAGCCGAAUUGAAACUUUCUGUGCGGUGAAGCGGUGUGCGUGUAAUUGCACCAGCAACGCGAGGGCAAUACGGGGCAGAUGCACAGAGAAGAGGCCUUCCCCCACCCACGGCUGGCAGCGGUAUUUUUCUCCCCUCCCGUCCGGUCCCCCCUUCCUCGUACGUGGCUCCCUCGUGAGCCAGCGGCGGGCAGGGCUCUCCCAGCUGCUGGGGACAACGCUUGGCUGCCUCGGCCCUGGGCUGGGGCUGGGGCUGGGGCGGCCGCGGA
This 796-nucleotide long non-coding RNA is filed under the name Struthio camelus australis. Its description in RNAcentral is "lncRNA (ENSSCUG00000015024.1)". Lineage: Eukaryota; Metazoa; Chordata; Aves; Struthioniformes; Struthionidae. The record is from RNAcentral.